GAUGAAGAACGUAGCGAAAUGCGAUAAGUAAUGUGAAUUGCAGAAUUCCGUGAAUCAUCGAAUCUUUGAACGCACAUUGCGCCCCCUGGCAUUCCGGGGGGCAUGCCUGUCCGAGCAUCAUUUCUGCCCUCCAGCCCGGCUGGGUGUUGGGCGCUGUCCCCCCGGGGACACGCCCCAAAGGCAGUGGCGGCGCCGCGUCGGGUCCUCGAGCGUAUGGGGCUUUGUCACCCGCUCGGGACGGACUCGUCGGCGCUGGUCUUCCUCCAGGCGACCCUUCGGGGCUCGUCUUCCUUCGGUUGACCUCGGAUCAGGUAGGGUUACCCGCUGAACUUAAGCAUAUCAAUAAGCGGAGGA
Molecule: unclassified non-coding RNA, 354 nt
Filed under: soil metagenome
Description: partial contains 5.8S ribosomal RNA, internal transcribed spacer 2, and large subunit ribosomal RNA
Rfam family: 5.8S ribosomal RNA (bases 1-120)
Source: RNAcentral